AGAGCGAACGCUGGCGGCAGGCCUAACACAUGCAAGUCGAGCGGCCGUAGCAAUACGGCAGCGGCAGACGGGAGAGUAACACGUGGGAACGCGCCCUUCGGUUCGGAAUAACUCAGGGAAACUUGGGCUAAUACCGGAUACGCCCUUACGGGGAAAGAUUUAUUGCCGAAGGAACGGCCCGCGUCCGAUUAGCUUGUUGGUGAGGUAACGGCUCACCAAGGCGACGAUCGGUAGCUGGUCUGAGAGGAUGACCAGCCUCACUGGGACUGAGACACGGCCCAGACUCCUACGGGAGGCAGCAGUGGGGAAUAUUGGACAAUGGGCGCAAGCCUGAUCCAGCCAUGCCGCGUGGGUGAUGAAGGCCCUAGGGUUGUAAAGCCCUUUCGGCGGGGAAGAUAAUGACGGUACCCGCGAGAAGAAGCCCCGGCUAACUUCGUGCCAGCAGCCGC
RNAcentral lists this ribosomal RNA (449 nucleotides) under uncultured bacterium. Its description in RNAcentral is "SSU rRNA". It matches the Rfam family "Bacterial small subunit ribosomal RNA", at positions 26 to 518 of the family's 1533-position model. The record is from RNAcentral.